UUUGAAUUUUUAAAAGUGGAUUAAGGUCGCUUGUGUUUCACUAUUGGGAAAUUCAAAUUCUUUGUAUUCCAUUCCAAUUAUAAAUCCAUCCAUUUAUUCGCGCCAGUGGAUCUACCACGCCAUCUCUUGGCUUUUUCACUUUUAAUUUCUAAAAUAAACAAACAGUGACCAAAAACGCCAAAUGUAGUGAGAGUCAUUUCGAAUUUUGAAUCCCUUUGAAUUAAAGACUGAAAAGGUUGGACCAUCACUGACUGACAUUAGCUUGCACUUGACUCAGCAAAUGUCAAAUUAUGGAUAAUGGAUUUCCAACAUUUACACAUGUGGUGUGUGGCCACUCGUCGUCCAAGUGACAUGCAAUUAUUUUUCACUAUGCAAUGCCGCUCACUUGAGAGUGACUGCUGGAAAAGGUUUGCCCGUCGGGUCAGAACCCUUGAAAGUCUCGAGGACGGAAAUGUAUAGCAGCUCACAGCGUGAUGCAGAAUUAAACGAAGGCCGCCAAGGCCAAGCGAGCUGCUGCUGCUCAAUCUUCAAUUGACUGGAAUCGUUUAACGACCGACACCAGCGCGAAUGCUGAUUCAUUGUAAAACUCAUCUUUGUAGAAAAAAAUGUUAAAGCAGUAAGAAGUUGACGAUCGAGCAUGAGGUGCAUACAUUAAUUGCUUUUUUGUUCAUUUGAAAAGGCGAAUAAUUCGUUAAAUUUAGGCAACAGUAAUUGGCCAAUUAAAUCUAGAACUCGACGAACACGUCGCUAGAGAGAAAUUGUCCAGCCACAGCGGUUCCACAAUUGACAUACCAAUGUCAAAAUAUCCUUUGGGUGCUGUCAAUUUAAUUUAGUCAACAGUUUUAUAAAUAUGAGCUAACUAACGUGUGAUUGUGAAUUCACAUGUUGUAGAAUAACCGGAUAUGGUGGCGCUAGUAUUGCUACUUAAUGCUCAUUUACCUUUGCCCCUUUGGAUUAAUAAUUCGUUAAUUUUUCCGCAACUAUCUAGUCAUUUGCUAAAUAGAUUUUGAUGUAGUUUUGAAAUAAAAACUUUUAAUAAAAUUUAUAUGGAUUUCCCCUGUUGGUCGUUCUUCCACUAUGAUAACCAGAAAGAAGGGGAAGACCACUCAGCACUACUACCAGCUUAGUCAUGGAUCAAGCAGCAACACUGCCAAGGCCCAAAGCAUCUCUGUCAUCUUUUGGUUACCAGGUUCCUCCUACUUUGAUAUCUUAAGUACUACAGUUUCAGUUACUUUUACUUUACACAAUUCCAAAGACAUUUAUUGGCAGUGAAAGUAAGCUAAUUUUGUCUGCUAAUUGACCGUAUAUUUUCUAGCAACAAUGCUCACUUGUUACAUUUUUUAUAAUUUGCUUUUUUAUUGGCUACUUCCGGUUUCUAAACGAGUUAGUAGUUUAGUAAAUCUUCAUUUGACGCAGAAUAGAACCAAAUAUUCGGGAUCCUUGCCAAAUUUGGGGUUUAAAUCAUGUUUUAUUUUGCGUUUUUGCGUACUUCCGGUUUACCCCAAAAUCGUCCAAAAUUGCAAAUUUUGCUCAGGAAAAUUCUCGAUUUUGACAAAAUUCUGGAUUUCGUUUAAAUUACAUCUUAUCGACCCCAAAUCUCACGGAGAUCACGAAUAUUUGGUUUUUGGUCGGCAGCUCAAUGGUUAAGGCGCUAUCGCUUACUUCCGGUAUACUUCCGAAAAAUUUGUAUUAAACUAGCAAGUGAGCUUUGUUCUCUGUAAAGUUCUAAGGAUUGAAUGCUAGGUAUUAGCAACAAAUAUGAACUUUUCAACUUUUGUGAGUAUCUUUAUCUUAAUAAGACCACCUGCAAAUACUGAGUUUUGAGACGUGUCAAAUAGAUGGCGAGUUGAUUGUGUCAAUGGAAUGGCGGUUUGCUGUCAAAAGUUAAGCUAUCCUUUCUUCGAAAAUUACCAACGAAUUCAUUAAUAAAUUCCAGUGAUUUUGUCUCUAACUUGUCGGUGAUGUGUUCUAUUCUGUGUAUACGUUGGAUAAAAUUAAUGUUUCUCAUCAACUUAUAGGAGGAAACAUAAAAGAUUCGUGGCGUCGUGCAGCCUACCGGCUACCGUCUACCGUCAACUAUUUUGUUCAAAAUCAUUGUAUUCUACUGAAUGUGCCAUCGAAAUGAUACAGGAGUCAUAAUUAUCUGCUGUUUGUAUUGGACUUGGUAGAUCACCAACGGCCCAGCAUAGACCAAUCUCACAUUUCAUCUUCUCGAGAGAAGAUUGGAUAACUGAUCGGUGGUUUCAUGUGUUCUAAACUCCAGGUUUCUAAAUUUGCAUGGCAGACUUUAUGAGAAGUCAUGUCCUUUCAAGAAAGUCAGCAAGGUCCCUUGUUUACUAACCUGUUGGCUGCUACCCUUGAGUCUUCCUUUUUACUUUCUUAAGCGGGCCAUCUUUAUUUGAGGGUAAUCCUUCGCUACUUGUCAUGGCCUUCAUCCACAGGUGAAAAACCGACGAGACAAUGCUGCAAUUCAAGACUGAUAAAUUGUUUAAUCGUUAGAUUCAAUUACAAGUGCAUAUCUGGGCUCCCUUCUUUUCUGUGGCCCCGUUUCCCUAACUAACCACUAA
Long non-coding RNA from Daphnia pulicaria, 2567 nucleotides. RefSeq lists it as uncharacterized. The transcript has 7 exons. Lineage: Eukaryota; Metazoa; Arthropoda; Branchiopoda; Diplostraca; Daphniidae. The record is from RefSeq and is a predicted model, not a curated record.